CCUACGGGUGGCAGCAGUGGGGAAUCUUGCCCAAUGGGCGAAAGCCUGAGGCAGCGACGCCGCGUGAGGGAGGAAGGCCUUCGGGUUGUAAACCUCUUUCAGGAGGGACGAAGCUACUCGGGUGAAUAGCCCAGAGGGUGACGGUACCUCCAGAAGAAGCCCCGGCUAACUACGUGCCAGCAGCCGCGGUAAUACGUAGGGGGCAAGCGUUGUCCGGAUUUACUGGGCGUAAAGCGCGUGUAGGCGGCCACGCAGGUCCGUUGUGAAAACUGGAGGCUUAACCUCCAGACGUCGACGGAAACCGUGUGGCUAGAGUCCGGAAGAGGAGAGUGGAAUUCCUGGUGUAGCGGUGAAAUGCGCAGAUAUCAGGAAGAACACCAAUGGCGAAGGCAGCUCUCUGGGACGGUACUGACGCUGAGACGCGAAAGCGUGGGGAGCGA
This 440-nucleotide ribosomal RNA is filed under the name uncultured bacterium. Its description in RNAcentral is "bacterial SSU rRNA". It matches the Rfam family "Bacterial small subunit ribosomal RNA", at positions 338 to 771 of the family's 1533-position model. The record is from RNAcentral.